UAAUCAUGGUGGGGGUAAUCCGCGUGUACUCCUUCAAACGCUCCCAACCCUCAUGAAAACUCUCAGAACCAAACUGUUGAAACUUUCAAAUCUUACUCUUCAGAUA
This is a small nucleolar RNA of Brassica oleracea var. oleracea, 106 nucleotides long. It matches the Rfam family "Plant small nucleolar RNA R71". From Rfam's summary of the family: R71 is a member of the C/D box family of snoRNAs containing the C (UGAUGA) and D (CUGA) box motifs. Lineage: Eukaryota; Viridiplantae; Streptophyta; Magnoliopsida; Brassicales; Brassicaceae. The record is from Rfam.